This 425-nucleotide ribosomal RNA is filed under the name uncultured bacterium. RNAcentral describes it as "partial 16S ribosomal RNA". It matches the Rfam family "Bacterial small subunit ribosomal RNA", at positions 354 to 796 of the family's 1533-position model. The record is from RNAcentral.
GUGGGGAAUCUUGCGCAAUGGGCGAAAGCCUGACGCAGCCAUGCCGCGUGGAUGAUGAAGGUCUUAGGAUUGUAAAAUCCUUUCACCGGUGAAGAUAAUGACUGUAGCCGGAGAAGAAGCCCCGGCUAACUUCGUGCCAGCAGCCGCGGUAAUACGAAGGGGGCUAGCGUUGCUCGGAUUUACUGGGCGUGAAGGUCGCGUAGGCGGACAUUUAAGUCAGGGGUGAAAGCCCGGGGAUCAACCUCGGAACUGCCUUUGAUACUGGGUGUCUUGAGUAUGAGAGAGGUGGGGGGAACUCCGAGUGUAGAGGUGAAAUUCGUAGAUAUUCGGAAGAACACCAGUGGCGAAGGCGACACACUGGCUCAUUACUGACGCUGAGGCGCGAAAGCGUGGGGAGCAAACAGGAUUAGAUACCCGGGUAGUCC